CGGAGGGUGCGAGCGUUAAUCGGAAUUACUGGGCGUAAAGCGUGCGUAGACGGUUAUUUAAGUCGGGUGUGAAAGCCCCGGGCUCAACCUGGGAAUUGCAUUCGAGACUGAAUAGCUAGGGUACGGUAGAGGGAAGUGGAAUUUCCGGUGUAGCGGUGAAAUGCGUAGAUAUCGGAAGGAACAUCAGUGGCGAAAGCGACUUCCUGGACCAGUACCGGCGUUCAGGCACGAAAGCGUGGGGAGCAAACAGGAUUAGAUACCCUGGUAGUCCACGCCAUAAACGAUGAGGACUAGACGUUGGAGGGGUAAGCCUUUCAGUGUCGUAGCUAACGCGCUAAGUCCUCCGCCUGGGGAGUACGGCCGCAAGGUUG
RNAcentral lists this ribosomal RNA (371 nucleotides) under uncultured organism. RNAcentral describes it as "bacterial SSU rRNA". It matches the Rfam family "Bacterial small subunit ribosomal RNA", at positions 526 to 896 of the family's 1533-position model. The record is from RNAcentral.